GCUUUCCUUAUGUAAGGGGGGGACACCACAAAUUGGUUGAGUAUGAACUUUUAGUGUGUCAAUAAAGUAUAAUACCUUGUGAACCCUUUUAUAAUGUGUGUAUACCUUUUUCUGAUGGAAUGAAAGGGUACAGUAUCAUUGUAUAAAUAUAUAAAAUAAAAUUAGGCCUGCCUUUAUAGGAUUUUAAAUAGCUAAGUCCUAGGGAUAGCUAGUCAGUUCAAGGGAGUUCCAACCCAAGAGUCAGAAGUCAAGAAAGGAACAGGAUUCUGAGAGGUUAUCACUUUUGGUGGGAAGAUGAAUGUUUUCUCUCCCACUCCUCACCUCCAUCAGCCCAUGGCUCUUUGAGGAAGAAUUAUUCAAUCAAUAGAAGAAGCUAUAUCCACAGAAGCUACAGAAAGAGACACUCCAGACAUAAACAAGUAUGAAGAGGCAAUCACUUGAAGGAGGAAGCAGCUUCAAGGAAUGGAGCCUGUAGCAGUGGACAGGACAUCUGGCUGUAUAGAGAGGAGUACAUUACUGGAACCCAGCUGAUCAAUAAGCCCAGCUGCAUCUAAGGGGAACUUCACAAGGGCUUGGAAAAGAGAGAAAGUACUUGUAGGCCUUGGAUUAGAAAGAUCAGAAAACUGCCUUCUCCACAUAUGAGAGUAAAGUUAGCCCAGACCAGAGGAGAUGAGCUGGCUUUGGCUGCAAUUCAGAUGUCGUGCUUAAAACAUUCAUAUGGUGCCCAGAGGGGUCUCAAUAAAUAUUGAGGACAAGAAUAAUGAUGAAUCACUUUUCUCAAUAAUUAGGAAAUCUACAAUGCACCAAUUUUUGGCAAACCUCCAAAGAGGUGUUGCAUCUACAGCUGCUUCUACUCAUCCAGGGAAAGGUGAUUGUGAGAAAGGACUCAGCCAAGAGCCAGUGUGACUGCAAUCAUUUCAUCCUUGCCCUUUCUAAACAGAAGCCUGUUCCAGUUCCAGUACAAUGAAUACAUUGUGAUCCUUCUGCAUCAGGAAACUUGACAUGUCAUUAAUUGGAAUGUUUACUUUUUUUCACUGUAAGAUGGUUGUGGAAUAAUUGAUUACAUCCCCUAUGAACAGAAGGGACACAUGCAGGAAAGGGCAUUUGAGGGAGAAAAACAAGUCAUAUAAACCAUAUAAACACAAACUGAGGGAUUUCUGACAAAGUGCAAGUCUAACAGAAUGUUAUCUAGAGCUCACUGAGUACAAGUUAGAUGUAAAUUCAUAAUGCAACAUGGGGUGAUCUUCCCAUUAUAGGUCUCCCCUGAGCAAACCUUUAUUAGAAUUUUAGGUCUGACUCCAUAAUUAAAGAGUUAUCUGAAGAAUUUGACUUAGUUUCAGAGGCAAAGAUAAAUUAAAACUUAAAAUAGCAAAAACCAAUAAGCAAAGAUGAAAGGACCUGGAAUUAUUCAACCCAGAAAAGAGAAGGCUGAGUGAUAAUUUAGUUAAGAGCCUUCAAAUACUUGAAUGAACAGUAAUUCUUCCAUAGCUCAUUCAUUUAUUCAUUCAACAAGCACCUAUUAAGCACCUAAUCUGUGUCAGACAUGGGACCAUGCACCAGGAAAUAAAGACAAAAAUGAAAAGUCCCUAGUUUCAAAGAGAUUGUAUUCCACUGGUGGAGAAAUGACAUGAACAAAGAUAAAUAAAUCAAAAAGAUAUUCACAGAAAUUUAUUGUAGUAGAGGGAGCAGGAUCAUAAAAUGUCUCAUGAUGGAGGUGGCACAUGAGCUGGGCCCUAAAAGAAGUUAGGGACUCUGCAAAACAGAGUUGAAGAAGAAGUGUGAAGGAGUGUUUCAGGAACAGGAGAUUGCCAUAGCAAAGGUAUGGAAAUGCCAGUGGAAUGCAAAAAAAGGAGAAAAUUAGCUAGAAUGCUGUAUGUGUAACAAAAAGUAAAUGUGCAAUUAAACCUAGAAAAGCAGGCCAUAAUCAGAUGUGAAAGACAUUUUAUUCACAUUUCAUUCUUUCCAUUUUAAACAUAUUUUCACAUUAGUAAUGUUCAAGAAAUCAAAAUAAAAGGAAAAACCAUGAGGAAAAAAAAGUGAAUCCACUUUGAUCCAUAU
RNAcentral lists this long non-coding RNA (2058 nucleotides) under Sarcophilus harrisii (Tasmanian devil). RNAcentral's name for it is "lncRNA (ENSSHAG00000024808.1)". Lineage: Eukaryota; Metazoa; Chordata; Mammalia; Dasyuromorphia; Dasyuridae. The record is from RNAcentral.